Non-coding RNA from Mesocricetus auratus (golden hamster), 59 nucleotides. The record is from Rfam. NCBI's taxonomy places the organism in Eukaryota, Metazoa, Chordata, Mammalia, Rodentia, Cricetidae.
UGGCUCAGAGGUUAAGAGCACUGGAUGCUCUUCCAGAGAUUUCUGGGUUCGAUUCCCAG